This 253-nucleotide ribosomal RNA is filed under the name uncultured bacterium. Its description in RNAcentral is "partial 16S ribosomal RNA". It matches the Rfam family "Bacterial small subunit ribosomal RNA", at positions 524 to 776 of the family's 1533-position model. The record is from RNAcentral.
UACGGAGGAUGCAAGCGUUAUCCGGAAUUAUUGGGCGUAAAGCGUCCGCAGGUGGUUAUCCAAGUCUGCUGUUAAAGCGCGAGGCUUAACUUCGUACAGGCAGUGGAAACUGGGUGACUGGAGUAUGGUAGGGGUAGCGGGAAUUCCCAGUGUAGCGGUGAAAUGCGUAGAUAUUAGGAAGAACACCAGCGGCGAAAGCGCGCUACUGGGCCAUUACUGACACUCAUGGACGAAAGCUAGGGGAGCGAAAGGG